UACAGAGGGGGCAAGCGUUGUUCGGAAUUACUGGGCGUAAAGGGCUCGUAGGCGGCCAACUAAGUCAGACGUGAAAUCCCUCAGCUUAACUGGGGAACUGCGUCUGAUACUGGAUGGCUUGGAUCCGGGAGAGGGAUGCGGAAUUCCAGGUGUAGCGGUGAAAUGCGUAGAUAUCUGGAGGAACACCGGUGGCGAAGGCGGCAUCCUGGACCGGCAUUGACGCUGAGGCGCGAAAGCUAGGGGAGCAAACGGG
RNAcentral lists this ribosomal RNA (253 nucleotides) under uncultured bacterium. RNAcentral's name for it is "partial 16S ribosomal RNA". It matches the Rfam family "Bacterial small subunit ribosomal RNA", at positions 524 to 776 of the family's 1533-position model. The record is from RNAcentral.